ACUAACUAGGAUUCCCUUAGUAGCUGCGAGCGAACAGGGAAGAGCCCAGCACCGAAUCCCGCGGUCGGAAACGGCCGCUGGGACAUGUGGUGUUUAGGAGGAUCCGUAUUCUCGUGGCUGCACGUCGUGUCCAAGUCUUUCUUGAACGGGGCCAUUUACCCAUAGAGGGUGCCAGGCCCGUAGGACCGUCGUUGGUUGCGAGAGGAUCUCUCCUUCGAGUCGGGUUGCUUGAGAGUGCAGCCCUAAGCAGGUGGUAAACUCCAUCUAAGGCUAAAUAUGACCACGAGACCGAUAGCGAACAAGUACCGUGAGGGAAAGUUGAAAAGAACUUUGAAGAGAGAGUUCAAUAGUACGUGAAACCGUUCAGGGGUAAACCUGAGAAGCCCGAAAGUUCGAACGGAGAGAUUCAUCGUGCUCGUUGCGUGGCGGCUGAUGGGUUGCGAGACGUGCGGUGCUUCGGUGCCGUGCGCUCCGCUCGUCGGCAUAUACAUGUACGAGUGCGUGCACUUCUCUCCUUGUAGGACGUCGCGACUCGUUGGGUGCCGACCUAAGGCCCGGUGUGGAGCCCGCGUUGAUCAUCUAGGGACUCUUCACGGACUACCGGUGUCCCGGUCGGCUCGCUCGACGGUAGACUAAAGGCGCGGGGCCGCGAUUCGUUCGCGUCUGGCCCGUCGCAAGUUCGUGCGGUUCUUACUCUGACCUCGGACCUAGUGCCGAAUUGGAGCCCGCCGGACUGUUAGCGGCGGUGUUCUCAGAUAGACUCCGAUACACGCCCGUCUGCGACGCUAUUGUUUGGGCAAUUUCAGGGCCCGUCUUGAAACACGGACCAAGGAGUCUAGCAUGUGCGCAAGUCAUUGGGACUAGCGAAACCUAAAGGCGAAAUGAAAGUGAACGUGAGUCCGCUUUGCGGCGGGCUCACUUAGGGAGGAUGGGUCUGUUCUCGGACAGGCCCCGCACUCCCGGGGCGUCUCGUGCUCAUUGCGAGCUGAGGCGCACCUAGAGCGUACAUGCUGGGACCCGAAAGAUGGUGAACUAUGCCUGGUCAGGACGAAGUCAGGGGAAACCCUGAUGGAGGUCCGUAGCGAUUCUGACGUGCAAAUCGAUCGUCGGAACUGGGUAUAGGGGCGAAAGACCAAUCGAACCAUCUAGUAGCUGGUUCCCUCCGAAGUUUCCCUCAGGAUAGCUGGCACUCAUCUAGUGAGUUUCAUCCGGUAAAGCGAAUGAUUAGAGGCAUUGGGGUCGAAACGACCUCAACCUAUUCUCAAACUUUAAAUGGGUGAGAUCUCCGGCUUGCUUGAAUUAGUGAAGCCGCGAGAUAUCUAUAUGAUAAUAGAAUCAGAG
This 1341-nucleotide ribosomal RNA is filed under the name Platycholeus opacellus. RNAcentral describes it as "eukaryotic LSU rRNA". It matches the Rfam family "Eukaryotic large subunit ribosomal RNA", at positions 64 to 1106 of the family's 3401-position model. The record is from RNAcentral. Lineage: Eukaryota; Metazoa; Arthropoda; Insecta; Coleoptera; Leiodidae.